GAUGAACGCUGGCGGCGUGCCUAAUACAUGCAAGUCGAGCGAACGGACGAGAAGCUUGCUUCUCUGAUGUUAGCGGCUGACGGGUGAGUAACACGUGGAUAACCUACCUAUAAGACUGGGAUAAUUUCGUGAAACCGGAGCUAAUACCGGAUAAUAUUUUGAACCGCAUGGUUCAAAAGUUAAAGACGGUCUUGCUGUCACUUAUAGAUGGAUCCGCGCUGCAUUAGCUAGUUGGUAAGGUAACGGCUUACCAAGGCAACGAUGCAUAGCCGACCUGAGAGGGUGAUCGGCCACACUGGAACUGAGACACGGUCCAGACUCCUACGGGAGGCGGCAGUAGGGAAUAUUCCGCAAUGGGCGAAAGCCUGACGGAGCAACGCCGCGUGAGUGAUGAAGGUCUUCGGAUCGUAAAACUCUGUUAUUAGGGAAGAACAUAUGUGUAAGUAACUGUGCACAUCUUGACGGUACCUAAUCAGAAAGCCACGGCUAACUACGUG
RNAcentral lists this ribosomal RNA (497 nucleotides) under uncultured bacterium. Its description in RNAcentral is "partial 16S ribosomal RNA". It matches the Rfam family "Bacterial small subunit ribosomal RNA", at positions 28 to 507 of the family's 1533-position model. The record is from RNAcentral.